Mus musculus (house mouse) is the source of this 4004-nucleotide long non-coding RNA. RefSeq annotates it as predicted gene, 36681. NCBI's taxonomy places the organism in Eukaryota, Metazoa, Chordata, Mammalia, Rodentia, Muridae. The transcript has 2 exons. The record is from RefSeq and is a predicted model, not a curated record.
UCUGUAGGUCAGACAUGAGAAUUAAGACAUUGGUUCAGUAAUGACCUCACGUGCCAGCGCUGAGCUCUCAGGCCAUGUGUCUGUGUAUGCUUUUUGGAAAAAAAAAAAUUUACUCACUGCUUGAACUCCCAGCAGCUCUCCUGCCUCUCCAUCCCUAAUGCUGGGGUUAUGUGUAUAUGCCACCAUACUCAGGUUCAUUAUGUUCUUAAGGUUUCAUCUUUAGUUGAGAGUGUGUGGGUGCAAAAAUGCAGGUGCCAUGGAGCUAGAAAGAAGGCAUUUAGUUCCCUUGGAGCUACAACUACAGGUGUUUGUGCACUGCCUGGGAUGUGAGGUGUGGAGCAGCGGCCUGAAUUUAGGGCCUCUGCAAAACCUAUAGGUUCUCUGAGAAAGCAAUACUCUUUUUUUUUUUUUUUUUUUUUUUUGACUUUUCAAGACAGGGUUUCUCUGUGUAACUGUGGCUGUCCUGGAACUCACUUUGUAGACCAGGCUGGCCUCGAACUCGGAAAUCCGCCUGCCUCUGCCUCCCGAGUGCUGGGAUUAAAGGCGUGCGCCACCACUGCCAGGCGCAAUAGAUAAUCUUAAGUGCUACUGAGUCAUCUCUCCAGCCAAAUCACCUUAAUAGUAUUAAAUUAGAAAAAAGUGUGUUGGGCUGGUGUAUGGUGGUGCAUACCAUAACCUUAAUCCAAAUACGUGAGAGGCAGAACCUGUCUCAAAAAAAAGUUUACCAGGACUGGACCUGAAUGAAACAUUACAACUGGCAGGCCACUGCUCUGAAACCUUCAUUAAUUUUUUUUUCUUCCCUUUCCUUUUCAAGACAGGGUUUCUCUGUUUAACCCUGACUGUCCUGUAGACUCACUCUGUAGACCAGGCUGGCCUCAAGCCCAUAGAGACUCACCUACCUCUGCCUCCCAGAAUGCUGGACUUUAAGGCAUGAGCUGCCACAUCUGGCUUCACUUUCUUAACUUGGUGAAAGGUAUACACACCUUCCCACAGCUAACCCCCGGCUGGAUUAUGGUCUGAAGGAAUGAUGUGCACAAUGUUUAGGCCAUCCUAGAAGCACUGGCAACUGGAUGAAAUCAGACACAAAAGCAUGCCAGGCAAAGGGUGAGCUCUGUCUGUAUUCUGGCAGCUUGGUAGCACACCUGAAGAAGUGGUAAAGAAACUAACUUGACUAGACAAGAUCAGUGUGGAAGUCCAGGGUCUUCGACAUAGAAAUACCAAGAAGAUGGAGCAAACCCUUAAGUCAGAAGUUAAAAGAAAAUAACUGUAGUGAACCCAUCUACAAGAGCAGUCGUGAUGAUAAACACUUCAGAAUAAUCUUGGUUAUAGACAAAUAUAUAUAUGAGGAAAAAUGUAACCCUUCCUGAAAGUCCCAAAAGUAUUCUGAAUACAAAACAUGCCCUGUAUUCUUAGAUGGACAGCUUACACCAGAGAAACAGUGAAUUUCCUGUUAGUAAAUGUAGUCUCCUGUAGUCUCCUUGAUAUGUGCUCAUUGUUUUUUUGAGACAGGAUCUGUGUUCCUAACUGGUUUUGAAUUUGCAUCCUCCUACUUUGCCUCUCAAUCCAAAAAUCUGGGAUUACAGCUGUACACCACCACAUAUAUCUUUUCUACCAUCUUAAUUAAAAUAACACUUCUUAAGGAGCAAAGUAAGUUGACACUCAGGUUCAUACACAACAGUAAGCAAUUGCUGUGAAACACUGACAAGUCCUAAACAGUAAAACACACAUAAAAUAAAAGCCUCUGGUCCCAGGGUGGUGGUGAUGGUGGCGGUGCACACCUUUAACCUCAGCACCCGGGAGGCAGAGACAGGCGGAUCCUUGUGAGUUCAAGGCCAGCCUGGUCUAUAAAGUGAGUUAGAACAGCCAGGGCUGCACAGAGAAGCCUCCCUCUGGCCAAACUGCGCUUUAGGUACACGGGUACAAAGACUGCCUGAAUCUAACUCUGCAAAGACGGAGAGUCAACGCGUGAUAAAUGAUAAAGAUGCUGUAUCUAAUCCCAUGCCAAUCAUGCUGAAUGAUGCUGGCACAACUGUAUUGAUGAGGGCUUUCCUGGUGCUGUUUGUAUUCUGAUGUUAAUUCUGCUUUCUCAAGAGGGGUUGUCCCCAUGAGCUGUGAACAUGUACUCAGGUGAUCUCCCCAUUUUAACUGGUCAAUAAAGGCUAGAGCCAAUGAUUGGGCAGUGGAGGGGAAAGGUGGGACAGGUAGAGGGGAGAACAGAAUGAGAGAGGAAGGGAGAGGACAGAAAAAGAGAAGGAGGAAGCCAUGAUGGAGUAGAACCAUGUGGCCAGAAAAAACUGCAAGUAGCAAAGGGUUCCAGAGCUGGCAAGUAAGUUAGUAUAGGUGUUAGAUCUGCCCAAUCUAGGCAUAUGGCUUAUAAUUAUAAUAACUAGAUUUUGUGUUUUUUAUAUGGGCUUAUUGGAGUUGGAAAUUCCAGCAACACUGUAUGAACAUUUGGAAAAGAAAACUUGUUCUGACUUCCUACCACACAAGGAAAACAACUAUCACUGGAUCAGACAUGUACCUGUAAAAAAUGAAAACUGGAGAGAUGGCUCAGCGGUUAAGAGCACUGCCUGCUCUUCCAGAGGUGCUGAGUUCAAUUCCCAGCAACCACAUGGUGACUCACAACCAUCUGUAAUGGGAUCUGAUGUCCUCUUCUGGGGUGUCUGAAGACAGCUACCGUGUACUCAUAUAAAGGGAAAAGGGCUAGCAAGUGCCUCACCAAGAGUAGUCACCAAGCCAUCUUGCAGCUGCAGCCACUCUCCCUCUCCAUAUGGCAAGGAGACAGAAAGAACCCGGGAAGGACCUACAGCAGAGGCCCCUUCAUCCUCGAUACCUGCCAUGUCUGUCUGCUGAUAAAGAACCAGUCAUUCAGCCCAUUCUCAGAAAGAAGGCUCCAUCCUCCCGAACUGAACUUGUUAUCUCUUGUCCCUGAUUUUCUGAGACAGGAUAUAGCCAAGGACAACCUUAACUUCCUGCCUCCACCUCCAACUGUUGGUGUUCUAGGUGUGUACCACCACACCUGUUUUAUUGAAGCAGGGUCUCACUGUGAGUCUAGGCAGGCCUUGAACUCAAACCCUCCAGCUAGAACAGCCUAGCUGAGAUUGCAGUCUAGGGUUACUGAGGUGGGAAGAGCCUUAUUCUGAACCUAGCACAAUAAAUGCCCGCCUUUGAAAGUGUUAGCCAAGCAGUCGAAUAUCAUCGGGGCAGGCUGCCCAGCAAGGCAGAACAAAUCACAAGGAAUUUAGAAAAUAAAAAAUGGUCCUGAGGCUCUUCCAGGAAUUUAACUUGAGAGAUAAUAAGGACCAACAGCGUAACUCCAAGCAACACUCUGAUCCAGAGGCACUUGCAGUAGGGGUCAGCGGGAGCAAAUAAGACCCCUCCCACCACGCCCCAGGGACGAGUGGACGCAGUGCAGGGAGGGAGGGACACUCGACACCUGUGGAGAGAAGAAAAGCACACUAUGGGGCAGUGGCUCAUGACUAUAAUCCUAGCACUUAUAGUGGAAGCAGGAAUAUCAGGAAGUCAAGGCCAUUUACCAUCUAGAAAGGUAGUUAUGAGGCCUGCCUGGGCUACAUCAGAUGCAAACUCCAAAAACCAAACAACAAAAGUAAAUUACAAAGCACGCAUACUGUUUCCCAUUUGGGGUGCUUAAGAAGACUCCUGCUGUAGACAAUUCUCAGUCCUCUUGAGUACACACCUGGGAGAAGAGCCGACGGAUGCCACAGUAAUGCCGGCUGUGCCUAGAGUUACCAGACUGUGUCCUGACAAGUGGUGCCACCUGGAAGUCUGCUGAGGUUCAUGUUGGACACUGCCACUAACACUCCAUCUCUCCCUUCCUGCCAUUCUAGUCACUGCCUGGCUGUCACGGGCCUAUGACCCAGCUAUUCAGAAAGCUGAAGCAGGAGGAUCAAAAGUUCACAGUCCUCCUGGGCUACACAACAAGUUCAAUGCCAGUCUGAACAACUUACUAUGAGCCUGUCUCAAAAUAAAACAAAACCCCUUCA